Molecule: long non-coding RNA, 437 nt
Filed under: Capsicum annuum
Lineage: Eukaryota; Viridiplantae; Streptophyta; Magnoliopsida; Solanales; Solanaceae
Description: long non-coding RNA (CANN_LNC015319)
Source: RNAcentral
UGGGUUAGGCUCUCCCGUUUGAUUUAUAACAUUGGUGCUUUCAUUGAGAGUCCACACGUUGGGCCGUGACUCGAAGUGAUGGCCUGAACCGAAGAGGGGUGCCAGUCAUGACCAACUGGGCGUAGCCGUGACCAAUGAGGAUCGAUCCACGUGUGGGGAGCCGCGCAUUGGGCCGUGACUCGUAGUGGUGGCCUGGACCCAAGAGGGUAUCAGUCGUGACCAACUAGGCAUAGCCAUGACCAACGAGGAUCGAUCCACGCAUGGAGCCACGACUCGAAGUAGUGGCCUGGACCUAAAAGGGUUGCCAUCCAUGACCAACACGGCUCAGCCAUGACCAACGAGGUCGUUGGUUUUCAAAGGCGAUUGUUAUGAAACAAUUGUCUCACAUUGAAAAAAUAGAGAAAUGCCAAGGGAAUUAUAAGUCAAAUGGGUUCUCC